ACCGUUGGUUCAUGUGAGAGCCUGGUGCUGGGUGUUCAUGGCCUGUGUGUGAAAUAUGCCUCCCUUCAGACCCUGCUGGGUCAGCACAUUACCUAUUUGACA
Small nucleolar RNA from Octodon degus (degu), 102 nucleotides. RefSeq annotates it as small nucleolar RNA U13. The record is from RefSeq and is a predicted model, not a curated record. The transcript has a single exon. Lineage: Eukaryota; Metazoa; Chordata; Mammalia; Rodentia; Octodontidae.